GAAUCUUCCGCAAUGGACGAAAGUCUGAUGCAGCAACGCCGCGUGAGCGAUGAAGGUCUUCGGAUCGUAAAGCUCUGUCCUCAAGGAAGAAUUUUGACGGUACUUGAGGAGGAAGCCCCGGCUAACUACGUGCCAGCCGCCGCGGUAAUACGUAGGGGGCUAGCGUUAUCCGGAAUUAUUGGGCGUAAAGGGUGCGUAGGCGGUCCUACAAGUCAGAGGUGAAAGGCUACGGCUCAACCGUAGUAAGCCUGUGAAACUGUAGGACUUGAGUGCAGGAGAGGAGAGUGGAAUUCCCAGUGUAGCGGUGAAAUGCGUAGAUAUUGGGAGGAACACCAGUUGCGAAGGCGGCUCUCUGGACUGUAACUGACGCUGAGGCACGAAAGCGUGGGGAGCGAACA
RNAcentral lists this ribosomal RNA (398 nucleotides) under uncultured bacterium. RNAcentral describes it as "partial 16S ribosomal RNA". It matches the Rfam family "Bacterial small subunit ribosomal RNA", at positions 359 to 774 of the family's 1533-position model. The record is from RNAcentral.